AUGGAGGCGUUCGGCGGCUUCUUCGUGGACGAGAAGGCGGCGCGUGUGGAGAACAUCUUCCUCGAGUUCCUUAAGCGGUUCAAGGAGCCGGAUGCGGCGGAGCCGUUUUACGAUGUAGAGAUGGAGGCGAUGCGGUCGCGUGAGUCCACCACCAUGUACGUCGAUUUCGCGCACGUCAUGCGCUUCAACGACGUCCUCCAGAAGGCCAUCUCCGAGGAGUACCUUAGGUUUGAGCCGUACCUUCGCAAUGCGUGCAAGAGGUUUGUGAUGGAACACAGAGCUGGCGAGAACCGUGCGCCAAUAAUCUCCGACGACAGCCCCAACAAGGAUAUUAAUAUUGCCUUCUACAACAUUCCGAUGCUGAAAAGGUUGAGAGAGCUGGGGACAGCAGAGAUUGGUAAGCUCACAGCUGUAACGGGGGUUGUAACAAGGACGAGUGAGGUCCGACCUGAGUUAUUGCAAGGCACCUUCAAGUGCCUUGAUUGUGGAAAUGUUGUUAAAAAUGUAGACCAGCAGUUCAAGUAUACUGAGCCAAUAAUAUGCGUUAAUGCAACAUGCCAAAACCGAUCAAGAUGGGCCCUUCUCCGUCAGGAUAGCAAAUUUACAGAUUGGCAGCGGGUCAGGAUGCAGGAGACAUCAAAAGAGAUACCUGCUGGGUCACUACCUCGUUCCCUGGAUGUCAUUCUGCGGCAUGAGAUUGUUGAGAAGGCUAGAGCUGGGGAUACGGUCAUAUUUACCGGAACGGUUGUUGCUGUUCCAGAUGUUAUGGCAUUAACUUCACCUGGUGAGAGAGCAGAGUGUCGCCGGGAAGGUCCUCAGCGGAAGAAUGGGUCAGGUGUCCAAGAAGGUGUAAAGGGCUUGAAGUCCCUUGGAGUACGAGAUCUCUCAUAUCGCCUUGCUUUUGUGGCCAACUCAGUGCAGGUGGCGGAUGGCAGGAGGGACGUGGACAUCAGGGACCGUGACAUAGAUGGUGAUGGCAGCGAGAGACAGAAGUUCACUGAAGAGGAGGAGGAUGAGGUUGUUAGGAUGAGAAACACUCCUGAUUUUUUUAAUAAGAUAGUUGAUAGCAUAUGUCCCACUGUCUUUGGUCAUCAAGAAAUAAAGAGGGCACUUCUCCUUAUGCUCUUGGGUGGUGUUCACAAGAUAACACAUGAAGGCAUAAACCUUAGAGGAGACAUAAAUGUCUGUAUUGUUGGAGAUCCAAGUUGUGCAAAGUCUCAGUUUUUAAAAUACACUGCUGGUAUUGUUCCGCGAUCUGUUUACACAUCAGGGAAGUCCUCGUCUGCUGCUGGAUUGACAGCAACUGUUGCGAAAGAACCUGAGACCGGUGAAUUUUGUAUUGAGGCAGGUGCACUCAUGUUAGCUGAUAAUGGCAUCUGUUGUAUUGAUGAAUUUGAUAAGAUGGAUAUUAAGGAUCAGGUUGCUAUACAUGAAGCAAUGGAGCAGCAAACCAUCAGCAUAACAAAAGCUGGAAUACAAGCAACUUUGAAUGCACGAACUUCAAUACUGGCAGCAGCAAAUCCCACAGGAGGACGGUAUGACAAGUCAAAACCACUUAAGUACAAUGUGGCGCUACCUCCAGCCAUUCUUUCAAGAUUUGAUCUGGUAUACAUCAUGAUUGAUGAACCUGAUGAAAACACUGACUACCACAUUGCUCAUCACAUUGUGAGAGUCCAUCAAAAACGUGAAGAAGCACUUUCCCCCGCAUUUAGCACUGCAGAAUUGAAGCGCUACUUUGCUUUUGCAAAGUCUUUGAAACCUCAGUUGAGUUCUGAAGCAAAGAAAGUUCUGGUCGAAUCAUAUGUUGUCCUCCGUAGAGGUGACAGUACUCCUGGUACUAGGGUUGCUUACAGGAUGACAGUUAGGCAACUGGAGGCGCUAAUCAGGCUGUCAGAAGCUAUUGCCAGAAGCCAUUUGGAAAGAAUUGUUCUCCCUGCUCAUGUCCGCAUGGCAGUUAAAUUACUCAAAACAUCCAUAAUAAGUGUGGAAUCAAGUGAAGUUGACCUAUCUGAUUUUCAAGAUGCACCUCUUGAUCAUGAUGAUGAACAGCCAAUACAAGGAGAUGCUACUCAACAAGAUGGUGCAGAUGAACCAGCAGAGGUGAUUAAGAAGAAACUGGUUAUUACUGAAGAACAUUUCCAGAGAGUUACACAAGCUUUGGUCAUGAGACUGCGGCAACACGAAGAAUCAGUCAAGAAAGACGGGGAUGGUCUGGCUGGCAUGAAGCAAGGGGAUCUAAUCAUUUGGUAUGUUGAGCAGCAGAAUGCCCAAGGCGCAUAUAGUUCUACAGAAGAGGUGAAGGAGGAAGUAAAGUGCAUCAAGGCCAUUAUAGAGAGGCUGAUACAGAGGGAAGGCCAUCUUGUGGUCAUAGAUGAAGGAACAGCGGCAGCAGAAGGUGCUGCGGCAAGGGCAUCGGAGCACAGAAUCCUGGCUGUUAACCCGAACUACGUCAUUGAUUGA
This 2460-nucleotide ribosomal RNA is filed under the name Triticum aestivum (bread wheat). RNAcentral's name for it is "partial small subunit ribosomal RNA". The record is from RNAcentral. Lineage: Eukaryota; Viridiplantae; Streptophyta; Magnoliopsida; Poales; Poaceae.